Molecule: ribosomal RNA, 290 nt
Filed under: Mycobacterium tuberculosis
Lineage: Bacteria; Bacillati; Actinomycetota; Actinomycetes; Mycobacteriales; Mycobacteriaceae
Description: partial 23S ribosomal RNA
Rfam family: Bacterial large subunit ribosomal RNA
Source: RNAcentral
UCUCUUGUCAAUGAAAUCGAGUAGGACGGAGCACGAGAAACUUUGUCUGAAUAUGGGGGGACCAUCCUCCAAGGCUAAAUACUACUGACUGACCGAUAGUGAACCAGUACCGUGAGGGAAAGGCGAAAAGAACCCCGGCGAGGGGAGUGAAACAGAACCUGAAACCGUGUACGUACAAGCAGUGGGAGCCUUCGUAAGAGGGUGACUGCGUACCUUUUGUAUAAUGGGUCAGCGACUUAUAUUCUGUAGCAAGGUUAACCGUAUAGGGGAGCCGAAGGGAAACCGAGUCU